RNAcentral lists this ribosomal RNA (253 nucleotides) under uncultured bacterium. RNAcentral's name for it is "partial 16S ribosomal RNA". It matches the Rfam family "Bacterial small subunit ribosomal RNA", at positions 524 to 776 of the family's 1533-position model. The record is from RNAcentral.
UACGAGGGGGGCAAGCGUUGUUCGGAAUUAUUGGGCGUAAAGGGCGCGUAGGCGGUGCGGUAAGUCACCUGUGAAAACUCUGGGCUCAACUCAGAGCCUGCAGGCGAAACUGCCGUGCUUGAGUGUGGGAGAGGUGCGUGGAAUUCCCGGUGUAGCGGUGAAGUGCGUAGAUAUCGGGAGGAACACCUGUGGCGAAAGCGGCGCACUGGACCACAACUGACGCUGAGGCGCGAAAGCUAGGGGAGCAAACAGG